CUUUUAUCCAAAGCGACUUACAUGCAGGCGAAAAAGAUGAGUCUUUAGAUGUUUUUUGAAAAUGAGUAAAGACUCAGCUGUUCGAAUUGAGAUCGGGAGGUCAUUCCACCAGCUGGGAGCAGUCCAGGAAAAAGUCAGUGAGAGUGAUUUUGAACCUCUUUGGGAUGGCAACACAAGGCGUCGUUCACUUGCAAAUCGCAAACUUCUGGAGGGUGCAUAAGAUUGAACUAGUGAGUUUAGGUAAGUUGGCGCCGUGCCAGUGGUCGUUUUGUAGGCAAGCAUCAUACCUUGAAUUUGAUGCGAGCU
Molecule: long non-coding RNA, 306 nt
Organism: Cyprinus carpio carpio
Lineage: Eukaryota; Metazoa; Chordata; Actinopteri; Cypriniformes; Cyprinidae
Source: Ensembl